CCGGAGCCUGCGCCUGGGGGCGUCCGCGAGCGCAGCCUCCUCCGCGAGGGCCUAGGACCCCCGCCUCAGGGUUUUCGCUUUGGCCUCAGUUUCCACAUCCACAGGCCGGGAGGGAAAUCCCAUUCUGCAGGCGCCUGAGACUGUUCCUCCCCCGAAGGAAAGAGAACUCGAGCCUCAUUUCCCCGUCUGCGGUCUGACUUCCACGGACCCCUUAGGCCUUCCACCCCUCGCGCUGCACUUUCCGCCAAGAUAGCGGGGCUUCGGGCCUGAGAGCCUACACGGGAAAGGGGGCCUGUCGGUCCCUGCCAACCGAGCCCCGAGCCCAGCAGCAGGGCUCCGGGUGAUGUGACGGUGGGCUCCUGGGUCCUGAGAAACAAGAGAAGUGAGGUCCGUGGGGACCACCAGCUCCACAGAGCCUUCUGUUUUUUCUUGGAAACAAGAUUACAGGGAUGUUCUCCCAAAGCAAACCUUAGAUUUUGCGGUGGAACCUGAGUCCAGAUAGGAGGCCUCAACACGGCGACCCUGGGCAGCUCACGCGACCUACUGGUCUGCACACCUCUUUGGCAAAACGCGAGGACUCCAGCCCCUCCUUCAUCGUGAGGAGCCAGUGUGUGAUUUGGUGUAUACACGCACAAGGGGUGAGCCAUUGCCCAGCUCUGCCAAAUCCUCGAUUUAAGCGCCGGGACGGCCCCAGUCCUGUUGUCACCCAACCCCUCACUUUCUCUGGAACGUGACCCCCCGGGGGAUGCUGAACACGCUGAACAGCCCGAGCUCCAGAACUUUUACAAAGGUGGAAGUUCCCUUCCAGAGACAAAUGAAUCCCUCUAUAUAAACACGUUUCACAAACAUCCGCAGGAUGCCCAAGGAUAAUUCCAGACUUGGCUGCAUCCCAGGGGCUUUCACUCACUUCCCCUGGGCAUCAGGAGGCUGAGUGCCAGAACCUGCAUUUACCAGGUGACUAUCUACCCUGCUUUGUUCUCGUGCCCUUUCUGCUCCUCCUCUGCCAGGGAGAGGACAGCCAAAUUCCAGAGCAGGGCUGAGGUGGCUGCCCCAGCUUGUCCAGGUUACCAACCUAGGCUGUGCUGAGUAUGCAGAUGGUGUGGAACUGGCUACAGGCCACCUCCAGAGAAGGAGCUCAAUCGUGACUCAGCCUGGGCUUGUGAGAAAGGAGGGAAAAGGCAGGGAGACCUUUCAAACGUGGCCAUCAAGGCAGUCUGCUCACUUGGCGUCAGUUGAGGUACUUACCCCUCAGGUGCACCAAAGUGUUUUUUGUUUCUGUUUUUGUUUUUUGUCUUUUUUAGGACCA
Long non-coding RNA from Phacochoerus africanus (Common warthog), 1306 nucleotides. RefSeq lists it as uncharacterized. Lineage: Eukaryota; Metazoa; Chordata; Mammalia; Artiodactyla; Suidae. The transcript is spliced from 6 exons. The record is from RefSeq and is a predicted model, not a curated record.